RNAcentral lists this long non-coding RNA (673 nucleotides) under Bos taurus (domestic cattle). RNAcentral describes it as "long non-coding RNA NONBTAT023719". Lineage: Eukaryota; Metazoa; Chordata; Mammalia; Artiodactyla; Bovidae. The record is from RNAcentral.
AUGCUUAAUAGAUAGGCAUUUUUAUUAUAGAUGCUUUAUAAGCCAAUUACUAAAUAUAAUUAACAGAAUCAGUAAAAUGUUCCAAAUGAACUUUUAAAAUAUUCAUCAGUUUCAGUUGACAAUAUAUAUAUACACAUACAGUAUACACUCAUCUGCUCUGAAUUUUAACUAUGCAAAUUGUAACUAAAUUCUCUAUAUAAAUACACAUAAAACAAAUAGUCCAAUGAGUAUAACAUAAUAAACAACAAAUUUUACAUAUGGUCUAUUUUCAGUAUGGUUUAUACCUCUUCUAAAAUACAUUUAGAAUCACCUGGGGUUUUCUGGUCAAUUGUCUCUCACAAAAUGUGGUAGAUUAUAUAAACUUCUAAAAGAUCAUUUAUUACCAUUAUAUUAAAUAUCAAUUCAUAUUCCAAAAAAGAAUGUUAUACUUCAAAAUGCAUGAGUAAAGCCCACUUUCAUUGUUAAUGCAUCUAUACACAUUUGUAUACAUGAUUUCAUAAAUACGCCACUGUAUUAAAAAAUACACCCUCUUAAAGACAUUUAAAUUGGCAGAAACGCUUUUUAAAAGCAUACAAUUAAUCUGUGAUCAUGACAGGUAUGUGUAGACUAGAGAAUUAAUGAAAAGCAAAGCAUCUUAAACUAACAGGUUUUUAAUGUUAUCAAUUUGAUUUUU